This 3731-nucleotide long non-coding RNA is filed under the name Marmota monax (woodchuck). The record is from RNAcentral. Lineage: Eukaryota; Metazoa; Chordata; Mammalia; Rodentia; Sciuridae.
GAUAAGGACCGAAGAUUUGAUCCCUACUCAGCAAUCACCUAAAACCUUUGGGAGAGAAAACAAAACAAAAGUCACUGAAAAACUUUAGCAAAACAUACAGAUCUAUCUAUUCAUGAGAAAAUUUAUUGCCUACCUUAAAGGCACGAAAGUAUUAAAAGAAGGUAGAAAUCAGCUAGAAAGCUACACGGAGGAUAAGGGUACAACCCACCUGAGAGGUGGUCGGUAAUGUUAAAGUGAAUGAAGGCAACUUGACAUGGGUGAAAAGGUUUGGAAAUGGUGGAGGAAGGAGCAACAGCCAUACUUGGGAUGUCACAUAGGCAAUAGUUGAAGCAUUGGUAGUGGAACAGAGUGGAAUGACCUGGGUAUGUCUUUCUCCAGCCAUGCAUUCUCAACAAGUUAUGUAACUCUGAACACAUGACUUUCCUUCUCCAUAGUGAUUAAUUAGUGCUAAUACUUCUGUUGUCAUUUGGGGGGGACAAUGAAAUGAGAUAAAUACAGGAAGAAAUCUUAGCCUACUGUCAGGCAUGUAAUAACUAUCUAAACCAUGUUUAUUGUUGUUGCUGUUUUUUAUUAUUACUAGGGAAAAUGUAAGCAAUGGAAGGAAUUCAUCUAUAUAUGGGGAAAUUAUAUUUUCCUUGUAAUCAUCAAAUAAUCAGAAUACUUGGUACUGUGUUAUUUAACUGAAUUUGAUCAGACGGCACCUGCUCCCUGCAAUACUGUGAAAGAAAGAAAGAUCAUGAAGGUUUAUUCCCGCCCUCAAGCCUCUUCCCUCCUCCCAGCUCUCUUCCCCAUGGCAACUAUUUCCACCUCUUCUGUGCCACAGUGAACUCAUAAUCUCUCUCAUAAUCUUUCCACUCCCCUCCUACCCAAAUUUGAAAUCUCAUCUCCCAGGCUGGAUGAGAGGAUGAUGAGUUACAAGGGAUGAAUCUGCAAUGAUGGCUUCUCAGAUAUUCGUGACAACAUGUAAGACCUGGGGACAGAGAUUCUCUUGGAUGUUUCUGGACCUAUUAAGUCAUAUCUAGUUAGCUACACACCUCAAACAUAGGGAGUGCUCAGCAGGAGAAUUUUUAGGUUCUUUUUCAAAUCAAAAUCUCAAGAGUAAGAACUUAAUUAACUUAAUUCUGCAAUGUCCUCCUGAAAGACACACGUAUUGGUGCACUGAUGAUAUAACUAAGCUACGAUGUCACAGGUCAUUAGCGCUGUCUUAUGCCAUUGUGUAGUUUGUGCAUUACAUGCAAAAGUCAGCUGUCCACCCAGCUGCAUCCAAUCCUUUCCCUUCUUUACCCUGCAGAUGAUAGUCGUGCUCCUACUGAAGUGGCCUGAGCCACAUUCCUGGCUCCAAAUUACCUACAGGAUAAAACCUAAACUUCUCAGCCUGGCAGAUAAAGCUCUGCAUAUCCAUCCUGGCCUUUUUCUCUGCUUUCUCCUUAUCUCUUGCUGUGAUAAACUUUCCCCAGGUCCCCACAAACACCUCGCUCUUUUAAGACAUUGCCCUUCAAUCCAAACACCUUCCCCAACCUUCUUCAACUCCACCAGGAUCAUUGCUGAAGGAAAAGCUCUCAUGUCUCAGACUUUAAGCUGUGCAGUUAUUUGUUCUGCAUUGUUUAUAUUCCCACAGUUAAACACUUAGUGGAUGUUUAAAAUAUUUCUUCAAUGAACGAAUGCAUUCGGAUUUCAAUGAUAGCAUUGAUGGCAAGGUAGGGUAAUUGUCCUACUCACUUGGUUACCUCAUCAGACUGUGAGCUUCUCCAAAGGGGGAGAGGAUGUGAGUGUAUCUGUUUCAUCUAUACCCUCAGAUCUGACUACAGUGGCUCUUUCGGUAAGUUUUAAGUCAAGGUUUGACAAAUAAUUAAAUUUCUUAUAUAUCUUUUGCAAAUGAUUUUUUUUUUGGUGUCAUCAUGCAUUAUUUCUUUCAUGAUUACAUUUCUUUCCUUUGUUGAUGUAGGGUUGGGGUAAAAGAAAGGGAAGAGAACAGUGUUCUUUUGCUGUCUUAUCUCUCCAAUAUAGCAAGAAUAUGGAAAUAUGGGGAGGGGAAACAGGGGAAGCCUCCUUGUAGGUUGGAGUCCCUGGAAUUAGAAGCUGAGAGUCUUCUGAAAGUGCUCACAAGUGAAACCUAGAAGGGGCUGAGGGCAAGGGCUGGGGCUGUAGCUCAUUGGUAGAGAGCCUGCCUCAUAUGUGUGAGGCCCUGGGUUCGAUCAUCAGCACCACAUAAAAAUAAAUAAAGAUCUUGUGUCAACUUCAACUAAAAAAAUAUUUUUUAAAAUGUUAAAAAAAAAGAAGAAGGGGCUAAGGGAAGCAAGACAGGACAGGGGACAAGCAAAACCAACACACAGAUUUAGUUGCAGAUAAGUCCCUGCCUGAUCCCAUGGGAAGCUAAGGAACAAGGAGAGCCUCCAGAAUUGUCCCACCUUGAGGGAAGAGGCCUGUGUGCUUUACGCCUCCAUAUUAGUAGUUGGCUAUAAGCCACGCCCACAAGUGAGGAGAUAACCUUGGGGAAUUUCAAGGGGAGCAGCUUCUGGAGGCUCAGGGAAGUCUUCAGUGGAGAUAGAGGUUAUUGCUCACCAACAUUCAUGGCAACUGAGCAAGGCAGGCGCCCUUCUGGUAAAGCCAUCUGAGCAACACAGCCAUAGCCCCACCACACAUCCAGAAGAUGUUAGAAAGUCUAGAAGAGUUAUCCAAGAUUUUAUUUCAAACCCACCUCCUCCAGCUUAGCCAAUCUAAUCGACAAGUUAUCUGGAUUAGUUCCUCACUCCUGAACAGAUUAGCAUCAGCAAGAUAGAAGAGGGGCAGAGACCCUGGAAGGUAAGUGCACCAACAGGAGCAGAACAAAGCCAGGAGCCAAGAGGCACAGCAGUCUGGAAGCCUGUGGGCAGAGCCCCGAGGACUGUGAGCUAAAGAUGAAGUCUACGAUGAUUUUACAACAAAAGGUUGGGUAAGCUGUAUUGGACAUUCUAAGUGUAGGAACACAGGGUGAUAUGCAAUGUAAUUUGUAAAUAUUUCAUUUGAAAUUUGGAAGCUUGAGGUGUGUGAACAAUGAUAUAGAUAUUUUAUUUUUACAAAAUAUCUCCUUCUGUGUCAACCUUAACAGGUAAGUGAGGUGUUGCUGGCUACUCCUCAAGGAAUCUCUUCUGCCCAGGAGCUCAUGGAACUUUCCAGAGGAUCACUUCAGACUUGUUUAAAAGUUCUGGCAGUUUUGGUUCCACCUAGCAUGUGGGAUUAAAUAACUGGGGCUGAGGGGAGCCUUCUAUAAUCGCCACACUUACGCUUCAGUGUGAUAUAGGGAAUGCUCUACCCUGGCAUGGGACAAAUGGAGUUCAAGUUCCUCCCUGUCAUUAACAUUUGUGUGGCCCUACACAAGUCAUUUCUCUUCUUUGAGUCUUGCUGUCUUCAUCUGUAAAGAGGAAAUGCUAAUAUUUAUUAUCCAUUAUUAAUAUUUACAUUGUACAUUACAUGAGUAUAUUUUAUAACGUAUUGAUACAGUUUGUAGAGAAACAAUAUUAUACUGUCUCACCAGUCUAUUGUGAGGAACAAGCAAGAUAAUAUUUGUGAAUUUGCCUUGUAAGAGACAAAAAGAAUUAAAAGUGGUAUAGUUGGAAGAGUCCGCUCUUCAUCUUCUUCUUUCCAAUGAACCUUUUGAUAGUUUUUCUAAAGCUAUGAGCUGGUGAGAGACCCACAGAUGCCAUUUACCAUAAAUUUAUUCUGUCCCUGUCCAUUGCCAUCUGCCUCCCGUG